This 253-nucleotide ribosomal RNA is filed under the name uncultured bacterium. Its description in RNAcentral is "partial 16S ribosomal RNA". It matches the Rfam family "Bacterial small subunit ribosomal RNA", at positions 524 to 776 of the family's 1533-position model. The record is from RNAcentral.
UACGGAGGGUGCGAGCGUUGUUCGGAAUUACUGGGCGUAAAGCGCGUGUAGGCGGCCGAUUAAGUCUGGUGUGAAAGCCCGGGGCUCACCCCCGGAAGUGCGCUGGAAACUGGGUGGCUAGAGUGCGGGAGAGGAGAGUGGAAUUCCUGGUGUAGCGGUGGAAUGCGCAGAUAUCAGGAAGAACACCCGUGGCGAAGGCGGCUCUCUGGAACGCAACUGACGCUGAGACGCGAAAGCGUGGGGAGCGAACAGG